GGGGAAUAUUGGACAAUGGGCGCAAGCCUGAUCCAGCCAUGCCGCGUGAGUGAUGAAGGCCUUAGGGUUGUAAAGCUCUUUCGCCAGGGACGAUAAUGACGGUACCUGGAUAAGAAGCCCCGGCUAACUUCGUGCCAGCAGCCGCGGUAACACGAAGGGAGCUAGCGUUGUUCGGAAUCACUGGGCGUAAAGCGCACGUAGGCGGACUUUCAAGUCAGGGGUGAAAUCCCGGGGCUCAACCUCGGAACUGCCUUUGAUACUGUUGGUCUCGAGGCCGGAAGAGGUGAGUGGAAUUCCUAGUGUAGAGGUGAAAUUCGUAGAUAUUAGGAAGAACACCGGUGGCGAGGGCGGCUCACUGGUCCGGUACUGACGCUGAGGUGCGAAAGCGUGGGGAGCAAACA
RNAcentral lists this ribosomal RNA (401 nucleotides) under uncultured bacterium. RNAcentral's name for it is "bacterial SSU rRNA". It matches the Rfam family "Bacterial small subunit ribosomal RNA", at positions 356 to 774 of the family's 1533-position model. The record is from RNAcentral.